AUUGAACGCUGGCGGCAGGCCUAACACAUGCAAGUCGAGCGGAUGAAGGGAGCUUGCUCCUGGAUUCAGCGGCGGACGGGUGAGUAAUGCCUAGGAAUCUGCCUGGUCGUGGGGGAUAACGUCCGGAAACGGGCGCUAAUACCGCAUACGUCCUGAGGGAGCAAGUGGGGGAUCUUCGGACCUCACGCUAUCAGAUGAGCCUAGGUCGGAUUAGCUAGUUGGUGGGGUAAAGGCCUACCAAGGCGACGAUCCGUAACUGGUCUGAGAGGAUGAUCAGUCACACUGGAACUGAGACACGGUCCAGACUCCUACGGGAGGCAGCAGUGGGGAAUAUUGGACGAUGGGCGAAAGCCUGAUCCAGCCAUGCCGCGUGUGUGAAGAAGGUCUUCGGAUUGUAAAGCACUUUAAGUUGGGAGGAAGGGCAGUAAGUUAAUACCUUGCUGUUUUGACGUUACCAACAGAAUAAGCACCGGCUAACUUCGUG
RNAcentral lists this ribosomal RNA (484 nucleotides) under uncultured bacterium. RNAcentral's name for it is "partial 16S ribosomal RNA". It matches the Rfam family "Bacterial small subunit ribosomal RNA", at positions 30 to 507 of the family's 1533-position model. The record is from RNAcentral.